CAGACUCUUUCCUUUAAAGCACAAAGGAAGGUUUUUCUCACCUGAUGUCGUUUGCUUUAGUAAUCUCUACUGAGUUUUAUAGCCAUUCUUGACUGCCAGUCCUGCAGGUUCCAUUUGCAGGAGUUGGUCUGAAAAGCUCUCAUUCACACAUGUACUAAGAAUCUCACCAUAUACAGGGGUGUGAAGUCAGGACCAGACAGGAUGUAGGGUUAGCUGGACAGUUUAGUGUUACAGUUGUGGAGUCAUUUAUUCAAGCCUCAGCUUUUGAUACUUUUUAUUACUGUCCAGAUGCUCUUCAGGAAAGUUUUCACCUAUAUGUUGCAGUUAGAGAACUGGUGAGUUUGUUCUUUUUUUCCAGUAUGCUAGUGAAAUGAGAGUAAUUUCCUCAAUAUUUCUCUGCUGUGGCUCUUUCCUCCUGCAAUAGCAGCAAGGUGCUUAAUCACUAUUUAUGUUUCCUUCUUUUGAAACAGGUAAUAAAGUGUUGCCUUGCUAGGCGAAUGUUUGAGAAUGAUGAAUUCAGUAGUACACGAGAAGAGGUCAGAUGCUGCACUGAGUAUCUUCUGUGGGCAAGGAAAUGCUGAACUUCAGCUCAGUAUAUCACUGCUGAAGCUGUGCCUGGCCAUGGGAGAUGACAAGCAGCUGCUACCAGCCAAGCUUUAAAUCAAGAGAGAAGAAUCUUUUCCAUUACAUUCCAGUGAAUUGUGAAAGAUGGAAAUCGAAUCACUGCUUGGAAAGCUGUACUUCUACAAGGAGCUAUGUGAAGGUGCUGCUAAUUCCCCUAUUUUCUUCCAGAAAUGGGAAAAAUGAUCUAUAUUAGGAAAUGUGUUCUUCCUUUCUUCAGUAAGCUGCAUUUUCAUUUUUGGUAUCCAUAUUUAAAUCCUGAUAUACAUACACAUAUGAACGAUAUGAGUUUUACUGCUGACAGUUUUAAAUCCUACCAUGUAUCAGCUGCAUAGACAAUUUAACCCCUCCUGAGCUUCACCAGAAGACAAUACAUUUUUUUGCAGAAGAAGAGAAAGGAAUGCAGUUUCUCACAGAGAUCUCCAUCAGGAAAUAAUCCCUAUCU
Molecule: long non-coding RNA, 1066 nt
Filed under: Phasianus colchicus (ring-necked pheasant)
Lineage: Eukaryota; Metazoa; Chordata; Aves; Galliformes; Phasianidae
Description: lncRNA (ENSPCLG00000010457.1)
Source: RNAcentral